Molecule: small nuclear RNA, 164 nt
Organism: Rhincodon typus (whale shark)
Lineage: Eukaryota; Metazoa; Chordata; Chondrichthyes; Orectolobiformes; Rhincodontidae
Product: U1 spliceosomal RNA
Exons: 1
Source: RefSeq, a predicted model, not a curated record
AUACUUGCCUGGCAGGGGCAAGGCCAUGAUCAUGAAGGUGGUUCUCCUAGAAUGAGGCUAGCCUUUUGCACGUUGGGUUUGCUGACACCUCUGAUGUCCCCCAAAUGUGGGACACUCCUCUGCAAAAUUUGUGGUAGUGGGGACUGUGUCCGUGCUCUCCCCAG